ACCAAGCACCACUUUAGCCCCUCAGUAUCAUGGCUUGAAAAUUGCCAUGUUGACUCUGAAGACAACAAAGAAUGUUUCUGCAGAGUCUGAAGACAACUAAUAGGUUGCCAUGUUAUCUGCAUCCAAUCCAGCAGAAGGGCCUGAUCCUGCUUUCACUGAAGUCAGCAUUUUUAUCAAGGACUUAGAGUAGGAUUGGGCCGUAAAUCUGUGAUCUUUCGGCAUACCCUGCGCAGACUCUUCACUUAGAGGUGAGAUACCAUUCAAAGAUGCUAGCGCUGGGUAGCCAUCAGUAUGGAGAUGCAGCAGCCUGUCCAGUCUGCGAAAAGAAGGACUCCACCCACAGAGCACUGUACCAGAACACUGAGAACAACACGCACAUCCAAGGAAACAAGAUAGCAGCAUUGCAUCAUGAGAACUGGCAUCAGCUCACUAAUAAUCUCAAGAGAAGAAUAUUGUCGUAAUAAACACGUGACACACCACACCAUAGGGUUGGUAAGAGACUGCACUUUCUUUCCCGGCUCCACUCACUUUACCUGGGCCAGCAUUACAAUGGGUAUAUUCAUAUCAGGAGUUAGUUUCCACUGACUCCAAGUACUUACUGUUACAGCUGUAACCAUUCCUGACAGUUGGCUAAUCUUUUGGUGUGCAUCAUGUAUUCUACAUCACUCUCCUUUCCCUGCUCUGAAAUUGCAGGUUUCGCUAAAGAUAAAAAAAAACAACAACAAAAAAACCCCCCCAUGAACAAUAAAAUAAAAUAUGGCUAUAGUUUUUCUUCUGUAAAUUUAGUCUGGCUGGAGGCUUCCUGAUCUGCUGAGUUCUGGUCAUUAACACAGUAAGGGCUAGAUUCACAAAGUACUUAGGUGCCUAACUGCUUCUUUAGGCACCUAAGUCCAACAUUAAGGCAUUAGUAGC
Long non-coding RNA from Chelonia mydas (Green sea turtle), 912 nucleotides. RefSeq lists it as uncharacterized. The record is from RefSeq and is a predicted model, not a curated record. The transcript has 3 exons. NCBI's taxonomy places the organism in Eukaryota, Metazoa, Chordata, Testudines, Cheloniidae.